Molecule: transfer-messenger RNA, 350 nt
Filed under: Clostridia bacterium
Lineage: Bacteria; Bacillati; Bacillota; Clostridia
Also listed under: 1 other name
Rfam family: transfer-messenger RNA
About the family: Bacterial tmRNA, also known as 10Sa RNA or SsrA, is named for its dual tRNA and mRNA-like properties. Its role is to liberate the mRNA from a stalled ribosome.
Source: RNAcentral
GGGGGCGCAAUGGUUUCGACGGGGAUUUUGAAGUAUUCGGAGCGAGCCGCAGUGGGUGCUGCGCAAAAAACCCAAAUUUUAAAAUUAAACGCUAACAAUAAUUUAGCUUACGCUGCCUAAGUUAUGGCGGCUGUCCUUCCCCACUUACCGCGUUUGGGGAUAAGGGCAUCAACACGAGCGGUGCACAUGAACUUUGAAAGCUUUGACAAAGUCACGAUUUUAUGAAGCUACCGGCACAGAUUGCCUGUCUUUGGGCUGUCUGUGUGGGGAAUCUUAAACAAAGACUACGCUCGUAGCGCCGGGUAUGAAUAGGUUUUCGGACAGGGGUUCAAUUCCCCUCGCCUCCACCA